Molecule: transfer RNA, 61 nt
Filed under: Tubulipora flabellaris
Lineage: Eukaryota; Metazoa; Bryozoa; Stenolaemata; Tubuliporida; Tubuliporidae
Description: tRNA-Gly
Source: RNAcentral
UCUUAUAAGUACUAAGUACAGUUGUUUUCCAAACAAAAAGUAAAUUAAUAAAAUAUGAGAU